Molecule: transfer RNA, 74 nt
Filed under: archaeon
Lineage: Archaea
Description: tRNA-Ile
Rfam family: tRNA
About the family: Transfer RNA (tRNA) molecules are approximately 80 nucleotides in length.
Source: RNAcentral
GGGCACGUAGCUCAGCUUGGCAGAGCGUCGGUCUUAUACACCGCAGGUCGGGGGUUCAAAUCCUCCCGUGCCCA